Molecule: ribosomal RNA, 834 nt
Filed under: uncultured organism
Description: bacterial SSU rRNA
Rfam family: Bacterial small subunit ribosomal RNA
Source: RNAcentral
AGGAUGAACGUUGGCAGUGUGCCUAAGACAUGCAAGUCGAACGAAGCGCUUUAGUUUGAUUUCUUCGGAAUGAAGACUUUAGUGACUGAGUGGCGAACGGGUGAGUAACACGUGGAUGACCUACCCUGAAGUGGGGGAUAACCUUGGGAAACCAGGACUAAUCCCGCAUGCGCUUACUGGCUAUGGUUGGUAAGGAAAGAUUUAUCGCUUUAGGAUGGGUCCGCGGGCCAUCAGCUAGUUGGUGAGGUAAAGGCUCACCAAGGCAACGACGGCUAGCCGGCCUGAGAGGGUGAACGGCCACAGGGGUACUGAGACACGGACCCCACUCCUACGGGAGGCAGCAGUUAGGAAUCUUCCACAAUGGGCGCAAGCCUGAUGGAGCGACACUGCGUGAGGGAAGAAGGCUUUCGGGUUGUAAACCUCUAAAAGUAGGACGAUAAUGACGGUACUACUUGAGAAGCACCGGCUAACUCCGUGCCAGCAGCCGCGGUAAUACGGAGGGUGCAAACGUUAUCCGGAAUCACUGGGCGUAAAGGGCACGCAGGCGGUUAGUUAAGUCCGAUGUUAAAGCGUGGGGCUCAACCCCAUACGGGCGUUGGAUACUGGCUAACUAGACUCUUGGAGAGGUAAGUAGAAUUACCAGUGUAGCGGUGGAAUGCGUAGAUACUGGUAGGAAUACCAAUAGCGAAGGCAGCUUACUAGACAAUGAGUGACGCUGAGGCGCGAAAGUGUGGGGAGCGAACCGGAUUAGAUACCCGGGUAGUCCACACCCUAAACGAUGCAUACUUGGUGUUGGUGCGCAGGCAUCAGCGCCGGAGCAAACGCGUUAAGUAU